This 458-nucleotide long non-coding RNA is filed under the name Homo sapiens (human). Its description in RNAcentral is "non-protein coding lnc-FARSB-8:2". Lineage: Eukaryota; Metazoa; Chordata; Mammalia; Primates; Hominidae. The record is from RNAcentral.
UAAAUUUUAAAUUAAAUCCAUAGGUCUGGUUUAGCAACCGCCGUGCAAGAUGGAGGAAGCAAGCUGGGGCCAAUCAACUGAUGGCUUUCAACCAUCUCAUUCCCGGGGGGUUCCCUCCCACUGCCAUGCCGACCUUGCCAACGUACCAGCUGUCGGAGACCUCUUACCAGCCCACAUCUAUUCCACAAGCUGUGUCAGAUCCCAGCAGCACCGUUCACAGACCUCAACCGCUUCCUCCAAGCACUGUACACCAAAGCACGAUUCCUUCCAACCCAGACAGCAGCUCUGCCUACUGCCUCCCCAGCACCAGGCAUGGAUUUUCCAGCUAUACAGACAGCUUUGUGCCUCCGUCGGGGCCCUCCAACCCCAUGAACCCCACCAUUGGCAAUGGCCUCUCACCUCAGGUAAUGGGACUCCUGACCAACCACGGUGGGGUACCUCAUCAGCCCCAGACUGAU